GACGAACGCUGGCGGCGUGCCUAAUACAUGCAAGUCGAGCGGAUCUUUUCCUUCGGGGAAAGGUUAGCGGCGGACGGGUGAGUAACACGUAGGCAACCUGCCUCCAAGAUCGGGAUAACAUGCGGAAACGGAUGCUAAGACCGAAUACGCAGCACUGUCGCAUGACGGAGCUGAGAAACACGGUGCAAGCUGUGGCUUGGAGAUGGGCCUGCGGCGCAUUAGCUAGUUGGCGGGGUAACGGCUCACCAAGGCGACGAUGCGUAGCCGACCUGAGAGGGUGAACGGACACACUGGGACUGAGACACGGCCCAGACGCCUACGGGAGGCAGCAGUAGGGAAUCUUCCACAAUGGCGCAAGCCUGAUGGAGCAACGCCGCGUGAGUGAGGAAGGCUUUCGGGUCGUAAAGCUCUGUUGCCAGGGAAGAAUAAGCAUGAAGUAACUAUUCAUGCGAUGACGGUACCUGAGAAGAAAGCCCCGGCUAACUACGUGCCAGCCGCCGCAGUAA
Molecule: ribosomal RNA, 506 nt
Filed under: uncultured bacterium
Lineage: Bacteria
Description: partial 16S ribosomal RNA
Rfam family: Bacterial small subunit ribosomal RNA
Source: RNAcentral